This 290-nucleotide unclassified non-coding RNA is filed under the name Hevea brasiliensis (rubber tree). Lineage: Eukaryota; Viridiplantae; Streptophyta; Magnoliopsida; Malpighiales; Euphorbiaceae. The record is from RNAcentral.
GGUGUUUCUGGAAUUUCCACUAUUGUUUUGCUUUUCCUUCUUUUUUUUUUUGUGAGGUAAUGAAUAAGGCUAGGAUUCUUCAUCUGUUGCUACUAUUCAUUUACUUUUAGGUUGUUCAAUGAUUUUUGAUGAAUUAGCUCCUUGAAAAUAUUUCUCCUUUCUCCUGAAUUGAAUUUUAGUUGAAAAUGGUUAACAAAUUUGACCUACAUUGUUUGUGUUUAUUAUUAUUGUAUUAAUUUUUAUUUUACGUACUCUUUUGCCUACAAUGAAAUUGGUAUUUUGAUCAUCUG